Non-coding RNA from Jatropha curcas, 534 nucleotides. NCBI's taxonomy places the organism in Eukaryota, Viridiplantae, Streptophyta, Magnoliopsida, Malpighiales, Euphorbiaceae. The record is from RefSeq and is a predicted model, not a curated record.
CAAUUAAUUAUUUAGCUUUUGAAAUUCUCAUUUCUACUUCCCAAAUGAGUUAUCGACUGUAACACACUGUAAGAGAGAAAGGCAGACAGAAGAUAUGACGAUAGAAGAGGGGGCCGGCCCCGCCGGACCAAAGGUUCUCCGAUUGCUUUAUUUCGUCGGCGCCGGAUUUAUCUGCACAAUAGCUAUCAACAAAUGGAGAGAAAUUGAAAAGAAAUCACUCCAAAAACAACAACAACAAUCUCACCUCCAGCCCAAUUUGUUGUCUCAGACCUCUCCAAAUGCCAUCCAAAAACCCUCCAAAUGAUCUCUCAGUCAUUUUGCAGUGAUAGGAUAGAGAUAGUAGCACAAUCCAUGAUGUUGAAGGUCGCAUUUGAGAAAUUUUCUUAAAAGAUCCAUUCCUUAAAGCAACCACGGUGGUACAUCAAUGGAUUGAAUUAUUUUUCCUUGUUCUAAUAUAUAUUAUAUAUUACAGUUUAUGUGAUAUUAUCUUUUGAAUUUAAUUAUUUAUUGGAUCAUCUUUUAUUUUUUCGCUAA